Aphis gossypii (cotton aphid) is the source of this 649-nucleotide long non-coding RNA. RefSeq lists it as uncharacterized. The transcript has 3 exons. NCBI's taxonomy places the organism in Eukaryota, Metazoa, Arthropoda, Insecta, Hemiptera, Aphididae. The record is from RefSeq and is a predicted model, not a curated record.
ACCAAUGUAAAUAUAACCAAUAUAUUGUUCUGUGAUAUAACCGAGCUAGCCUGUUAGAAAAGGAUAACAGAUAAGAAUGGUGUUGCUAUCUUUUUCUAUCAUAUGUUUAAUGUUAUGAUUUCUCAACGUUAAAUAUAAUAAUAUUCGUUUGAUUUCAAAUUUUUUAAAUUUUAGCUUAAUUAAAAGAAAUACGACCAAAAGUAAUUCAAAAUGGUACAUUUAUGUAGUGCUUUCAAUUGUACCAGCUCUAGUGAUAUUAGGAAAGAUCUAUCAUUUCAUAAGUUAGUAAUAUUCUCCCUUAAAGAUAAGGAAAAUCUGCAAAAAUAGGUACAUGCUGUCAGAAGAAAGGAUUUUAAACCUACAUCUAGCUCUACAUUAUGUAGCUUACAUUUUAAAAAAACUUAUUUUUUUUAGCCAUUGUAAGUGGGAAACAAAUGUUAAAAAAAAUUGUUGUACCAACUAUAUUUGAUUUUCCAAAUCAUUUAUUGCCAAAAAAUAAAGAAAGAAGAAUUCUGCUACGAGAAGACACAACCACAAUAACAGCCAUUCAUAAUAGUAAUAAUACAGCUACUUGUGAAACAGGGACUAAGUUUGUUAACAUUGGUGUACAGACUAAAUUAACUGGUGAAGAAUUAGAAAAAAGUGAGUA